GACGAACGCUGGCGGCGUGCUUAACACAUGCAAGUCGAACGGUAAGGCCCUUCGGGGUACACGAGUGGCGAACGGGUGAGUAACACGUGGGUGAUCUGCCCUGUACUUCGGGAUAAGCCUGGGAAACUGGGUCUAAUACCGGAUAGGACUCCUGGCUUCAUGGUUGGGGGUGGAAAGCUUUUGCGGUGUGGGAUGGGCCCGCGGCCUAUCAGCUUGUUGGUGGGGUAAUGGCCUACCAAGGCGACGACGGGUAGCCGGCCUGAGAGGGUGACCGGUCACACUGGGACUGAGAUACGGCCCAGACUCCUACGGGAGGCAGCAGUGGGGAAUAUUGCACAAUGGGCGCAAGCCUGAUGCAGCGACGCCGCGUGAGGGAUGACGGCCUUCGGGUUGUAAACCUCUUUCAGCUAUGACGAAGCGCAAGUGACGGUAGUAGCAGAAGAAGGACCGGCCAACUACGUACCAGCCGCCGCGGUAA
Molecule: ribosomal RNA, 478 nt
Filed under: uncultured bacterium
Lineage: Bacteria
Description: partial 16S ribosomal RNA
Rfam family: Bacterial small subunit ribosomal RNA
Source: RNAcentral